UACGUAGUGGUGCUUACCACGGGCCAG
This 27-nucleotide non-coding RNA is filed under the name Mus musculus (house mouse). Lineage: Eukaryota; Metazoa; Chordata; Mammalia; Rodentia; Muridae. The record is from RNAcentral.